UUGAUCUCAAAUCAGGUAGGACUACCCGCUGAACUUAAGCAUAUCAAUAAGCGGAGGAAAAGAAACUAACAAGGAUUCCCCUAGUAACUGCGAGUGAAGCGGGAAGAGCUCAAAUUUAAAAUCUGGCGUGCCUCUGGCCGUCCGAGUUGUAGUCUGGAGAAGCGUCUUCCGUGUUGGACCGUGUAUAAGUCUCUUGGAACAGGGCGUCAUAGAGGGUGAGAAUCCCGUCUUUGACACGGACUACCAAUGCUUUGUGAUGCGCUCUCAAAGAGUCGAGUUGUUUGGGAAUGCAGCUCAAAAUGGGUGGUAAAUUCCAUCUAAAGCUAAAUAUAGGCGAGAGACCGAUAGCGAACAAGUACCGUGAGGGAAAGAUGAAAA
RNAcentral lists this ribosomal RNA (378 nucleotides) under uncultured fungus. RNAcentral's name for it is "eukaryotic LSU rRNA". It matches the Rfam family "Eukaryotic large subunit ribosomal RNA", at positions 1 to 370 of the family's 3401-position model. The record is from RNAcentral. Lineage: Eukaryota; Fungi.